RNAcentral lists this ribosomal RNA (540 nucleotides) under uncultured Alphaproteobacteria bacterium. Its description in RNAcentral is "bacterial SSU rRNA". It matches the Rfam family "Bacterial small subunit ribosomal RNA", at positions 964 to 1504 of the family's 1533-position model. Lineage: Bacteria; Pseudomonadati; Pseudomonadota; Alphaproteobacteria. The record is from RNAcentral.
AAGAACCUUACCAGCUUUUGACAUGUCCUGGACGGAUUGCAGAGAUGCGAUCUUCUCUUCGGAGCCGGGAACACAGGUGCUGCAUGGCUGUCGUCAGCUCGUGUCGUGAGAUGUUGGGUUAAGUCCCGCAACGAGCGCAACCCUCGCCCUUAGUUGCCAUCAUUCAGUUGGGCACUCCAGGGGGACUGCCGGUGAUAAGCCGGAGGAAGGUGGGGAUGACGUCAAGUCCUCAUGGCCCUUACAGGCUGGGCUACACACGUGCUACAAUGGCGGUGACAACGGGAGGCGAAGGGGCGACCCUUAGCAAAUCUCGAAAAGCCGUCUCAGUUCGGAUUGCACUCUGCAACUCGAGUGCAUGAAGUUGGAAUCGCUAGUAAUCGCGGAUCAGCACGCCGCGGUGAAUACGUUCCCGGGCCUUGUACACACCGCCCGUCACACCAUGGGAGUUGGUUUUACCCGAAGACGGCGCGCUAACCGCAAGGAGGCAGCCGGCCACGGUAGGGUCAGCGACUGGGGUGAAGUCGUAACAAGGUAGCCGUA